AGCUUUGUACAGUGGCAGUAUCAUAGCCAAUGAGGUUUAUCCGAGGUGCGAUUAUUGCUAAUAGAAGAAUUAACAUCAGUACUUUUGAAACUCUUCAAAAAAAUUGAAGAGGAAACAUUUCCUAUCUCAUUAUUGAG
This is a small nuclear RNA of Lynx canadensis (Canada lynx), 137 nucleotides long. Its record names the gene U4. It matches the Rfam family "U4 spliceosomal RNA". Rfam says of the family: U4 small nuclear RNA (U4 snRNA) is a component of the major U2-dependent spliceosome. The structure of U4 snRNA from yeast and human has been reported. NCBI's taxonomy places the organism in Eukaryota, Metazoa, Chordata, Mammalia, Carnivora, Felidae. The record is from Ensembl.